GUGCCAGCAGCCGCGGUAAUUCCAGCUCCAAUAGCGUAUAUUAAAGUUGUUGUGGUUAAAAAGCUCGUAGUUGAACCUUGGGCCUGGCUGGCCGGUCCGCCUCACCGCGUGCACUGGUCCGGCCGGGCCUUUCCCUCUGUGGAACCCCAUACCCUUCACUGGGCGUGGCGGGGAAACAGGACAUUUACUUUGAAAAAAUUAGAGUGCUCCAGGCAGGCCCAUGCUCGAAUACAUUAGCAUGGAAUAAUAAAAUAGGACGCGCGGUUCUAUUUUGUUGGUUUAUAGGACCGCCGUAAUGAUUAAUAGGGACAGUCGGGGGCAUCAGUAUUCAACUGUCAGAGGUGAAAUUCUUGGAUCAGUUGAAGACUAACUACUGCGAAAGCAUUUGCCAAGGAUGUUUUCAUUAAUCAGGAACGAAAGUUAGGGGAUCGAAGACGAUCAGAUACCGUCGUAGUCUUAACCAUAAACUAUGCCGACUAGGGAUCGGACGGUGUUAUUCAUGACCCGUUCGGCACCUUACGAGAAAUCAAAGUGCUUGGGCUCCAGGGGGAGUAUGGUCGCAAGGCUGAAACUUAAAGAAAUUGACGGAAGGGCACCACCAGGGGUGGAGCCUGCGGCUUAAUUUGACUCAACACGGGGAAACUCACCAGGUCCAGACACAAUAAGGAUUGACAGAUUGAGAGCUCUUUCUUGAUUUUGUGGGUGGUGGUGCAUGGCCGUUCUUAGUCGUGGAGUGAUUUGUCUGGUAAUUCCGAUAACGAACGAGACUCAAAUAUAUUAAAUAGAUGCUUUCAGGACUAUAACGUUGAAGCU
RNAcentral lists this ribosomal RNA (813 nucleotides) under uncultured fungus. RNAcentral describes it as "SSU rRNA". It matches the Rfam family "Eukaryotic small subunit ribosomal RNA", at positions 564 to 1386 of the family's 1831-position model. Lineage: Eukaryota; Fungi. The record is from RNAcentral.